UCUUAGCUCAUCUGAUGUGAAG
RNAcentral lists this microRNA (22 nucleotides) under Gallus gallus (chicken). RNAcentral describes it as "gga-miR-7476-5p". Lineage: Eukaryota; Metazoa; Chordata; Aves; Galliformes; Phasianidae. The record is from miRBase by way of RNAcentral.